Long non-coding RNA from Etheostoma cragini (Arkansas darter), 1076 nucleotides. RefSeq lists it as uncharacterized. The transcript is spliced from 2 exons. The record is from RefSeq and is a predicted model, not a curated record. Lineage: Eukaryota; Metazoa; Chordata; Actinopteri; Perciformes; Percidae.
UCCUGGAUAACUGACACAAUGAGAGCCAAUCAGAAUCCACCCUCAGAAACCAUACACAGGGUAAUUAGAUGAGAGCCAAUCAGAAUCCACCCUCAGAAACCGUACACAGGGUAAUUAGAUGAGAGCCAAUCAGAAUCCCUUUAUUUAUUGUAUUUUGAAGAAGAAAAACACCAAUGACAUCUCUAAAUAUAUAAAAAAUAAUUAAAAAUUUAUAAAAAUUAUAAUGAGAUUAUGCUGUUACAUGUCAUUGGGCCUUUUUUAGUGGCUAUACCUGUAUACUGCGUAUAUCUGAGUAUACCUGCGUAUAACAGUUGGCUGCGUGUACUGUGUGUACCUGAGUAUACUGUGUGUACUGCGUGUACCUGCGUGUACCUGAGUAUACUGCGUGUACUGCGUGUACUGCGUUUACCUGCGUGUACCUGAGUAUACUGCGUGUACCUGAGUAUACUGCGUGUACUGCGUGUACCUGCGUGUACCUGAGUAUCACAUUCAGAGACUACAGAGAGAGAUAAGCAGCCGUUGGAAAAUAUGAAUUAUUGGUCGUAAACAUCUGAUGUUUUCAGCAGGUUAAUGCUAACGCGUUAGCUGUAGCAUUAGCUCAUUAGUUAAAGCCCUUCCCGGUUUCAUUAGCUAGCUCAUGUUAGCUGUAGCAUUAGCUAGCUCAUGUUAGCUGUAUCAUUAGCUACCUCAGGUAAGCUGUAGCAUUGGCUAGCUCGAGUUAGCUGUAGCAUUAGCUAGCUCAUGUUAGCUGUAGCAUUAGCUAGCUCAGGUAAGCUGUAGCAUUAGCUAGCUCAUGUUAGCUGUAGCAUUGGCUAGCUCGGGUUAGCUGUAGCAUUGGCUAGCUCAGGUUUGCUGUCACUACUUUAGAACACUGAAAUGUGACGUGUUGCUACGGCAACAAAAAGGGACAAAAGUUGAAUGUUUUUAACGUGAGAGAUUCUGUUACUGCGGUUUGAUACAGAAUGAUGCAUUUUGGGUAAUCGAGUCAGCGGGUCAUUGAUUAAUGAUUGUUUUGUAAUUGUCUGUUUUGCUGUGAAAAGGAAAGUUUUGGGAAACUAUGAAAUCAUCUUUAUUUU